RNAcentral lists this long non-coding RNA (380 nucleotides) under Elaeis guineensis (African oil palm). Its description in RNAcentral is "long non-coding RNA (EGUI_LNC009888)". The record is from RNAcentral. Lineage: Eukaryota; Viridiplantae; Streptophyta; Magnoliopsida; Arecales; Arecaceae.
CCUGCUUGCGCCAGCCGGCCCGAUACGCAUCAUAGCUCGCCUUGGCAUCCUGGAGCUGUUGCUGAAGGUCGGAGACCUUCUUCGACCAUUCCCAAUCACUGUCGGCCCGAGUCAAAAGCCGGGAUGAGCUUCCUUCCAACUGGCUAAUCCUCUCCUGUGCAGCCGACAGCUCCACUCAGAGGGAACUGAUCUUGACAGCUUGAGCCCAAAUUCGAUCGCUGGCGCGCUUCUUGUAUUCCUCAAGCUCCUUCUCGAAGUUCGCCUUCCUCCAACUGUACUCCAUGAUCUCCUUCACGUGGAGGUUCCGAAAGUGGGUGACCUCCGUGGCGGCUUCAGAGUGGCUCUCCCUCAACCUGCGAAGCUUGCCUUCCAUCUUCUUC